UUUUUUUUUGAAGAGAGAUAGGUAGCACGCUAUCCGUUUCGUUUAUUUCAAUUAGAAAUAAAUUUAUCUAGAAAUAUGAAUCAACUAGGAUUUGAACUUGGGAUCUCGAGUACCGACCACCAAAUCCUUUGCCACUUGCUCUACGGAUGAUUGGUGAAGUUCAUCAAUGUUGUUAGGGCAAAGUUGCUUUUAAUCCAAAGUUGCUUUUAAGUGUUAUAUGAGUGUGUUAUGAGCUGAACUCCUAAACCGUUGACUCGGUAAAAUGUCCUUUUUCAAAAAGUGCAUAAAGAAGUGGAGUAGCUUUUGAUAGUGAUCCUCGAAGUUUGCGCCCACAACUGAAUCAAGCGAUUCGGCUGAUGAGGGAUCUGAUCAGCCAAGUUCAAAUAUUACACUAUAUAUUCGGUUCGGCUGAAAUGAGUCGAAUAAUGCGAAGAGAUUACAGCUCCUAGAAAAGCAGAAAAAUGUGCGAAAAUAAAUUGGUCUUCUUGUUCUUAGGGAAAAAAGACUAUUUGUUAGGCAUCUUCUGGCUAUUUAUAGUCUUGUCUGUUAUUUAUUUAGUUACUCCUCAUUAUCAGCUCUGUCCCUGCUUCUGCUGGUCACUCUUGGCCGAUCCUAACUGCAUCAACUCUAACCAAUUUUCAAUUUUCUGGAUACAUUCUUUUCAAAUCCUGGUGUACCACAUGUCACUUUAUAUUUGGCUUCGGGAGCUAUUUCUGUAGUGUGUUCCGACUCAGCACGUGGCGCAAUUUUUAUGGCGCUAACAUGGUGCAAAUAAUAAUAAGUAGAUCUUAUUAUGUUUUUUUUUUUAAAAAAAAAAUAAAGAGAGAAAUGUAGUAUACUAUCUAUUUCAUUUAUUUUGUUAAAAAAUAAAAUAAACUUAGUUAGAAAUGUAAGAUAAUCAAUCUAAUUAUGUCUCUGAUAUCAAUGUAGAACGCAGCGAAAGUAUUUAUUCCUAUGUUUUGCGGAAGUGACUUGUACUAGAAUGUGGUAAGUUCCGGAUCGUAGAGAUUGAUUUGCGUGUCAUUGGAUUGUCCACGAAGGUCGUGUAACACUUCAAACCCGUGGUAAAUCAAGUUAUCAACGAGCUAGAUCUAUAAUUCAUCGUUCAAAACCCUUUAGAAGUAAUAGGUUAAUAAAGGAUGUAGUUUUUCUCUCUUACAAAAUAGCUUACAAAUCUAGUCCAAUUAGGCAACAUAAUAAUCGUCGGAUCGAGUCCGAUCAUGAGCGGAGCAGAUUCGAUUUGACCGAAUGCCAACAGCUAAAAAUAUAAAAUAAUUAAAUUUUUAAUUUAAAAUUUUAAAUAUCAAUCAUUAAAUAUUUUGUCAUUUAUUUUAAGGACAGUAAAUAGGUGAUAUAAUGUUGGAUUGUUAUCUUUUG
This 1377-nucleotide long non-coding RNA is filed under the name Ananas comosus (pineapple). RNAcentral describes it as "long non-coding RNA (ACOM_LNC013192)". Lineage: Eukaryota; Viridiplantae; Streptophyta; Magnoliopsida; Poales; Bromeliaceae. The record is from RNAcentral.